RNAcentral lists this ribosomal RNA (279 nucleotides) under uncultured bacterium. RNAcentral describes it as "partial 16S ribosomal RNA". It matches the Rfam family "Bacterial small subunit ribosomal RNA", at positions 506 to 784 of the family's 1533-position model. The record is from RNAcentral.
UGCCAGCCGCCGCGGUAAUACAGAGGGGGUUAGCGUUGUUCGGAAUUACUGGGCGUAAAGCGCGCGUAGGCGGAUUAGACAGUUGAGGGUGAAAUCCCGGAGCUUAACUCCGGAACUGCCUUCAAUACUACUAAUCUUGAGUUCGGAAGAGGUGAGUGGAAUUCCCAGUGUAGCGGUGAAAUGCGUAGAUAUUAGGAAGAACACCAAAGGCGAAGGCAUUCUACUGGCUCGAUACUGACGCUGAGGUACGAAAGUGUGGGGAGCAAACAGGAUUAGAUA